Molecule: ribosomal RNA, 253 nt
Filed under: uncultured bacterium
Lineage: Bacteria
Description: partial 16S ribosomal RNA
Rfam family: Bacterial small subunit ribosomal RNA
Source: RNAcentral
UACAUAGGGGGCAAGCGUUAUCCGGAUUUAUUGGGCGUAAAGCGCGCGCAGGUGGUUUCUUAAGUCUGAUGUGAAAGCCCCCGGCUCAACCGGGGAGGGUCAUUGGAAACUGGGAGACUUGAGUGCAGAAGAGGAAAGUGGAAUUCCAAGUGUAGCGGUGAAAUGCGUAGAGAUUUGGAGGAACACCAGUGGCGGAGGCGACUUUCUGGUCUGUAACUGACACUGAGGCGCGAAAGCAUGGGUAGCGAACAGG